This is a long non-coding RNA of Nyctereutes procyonoides (raccoon dog), 816 nucleotides long. RefSeq lists it as uncharacterized. The record is from RefSeq and is a predicted model, not a curated record. The transcript has 4 exons. Lineage: Eukaryota; Metazoa; Chordata; Mammalia; Carnivora; Canidae.
UUGCCCUGCUGUCUCAUAGCAGAAGACUCUCCAGUGAUAGCUGAAUGAGGUACAAGCUCAUUUGGAAAUUCAGGUAAUUUUCUUCUCCUUUCUUUUCUUUUUAAGAUUUUUAUUUAUUUAUUCGACAGAGAAAGAGAGAGAGAAAGAGCACAAGCAGCAGGAGAGGGAGAAGCAGACUCCUCAAUGAACAGGGAGCCUGACUAAGGGCUCGAUACCAGGACCCCGGGAUCAUGACCUGAGACAAAGGCAGAUGCUUCACCAACUGAGCUACCCAGGCGCCAUUUUCUCCUUUCUUACUUCCCCUUUCCAUGAGAGUUUCUUCCAUUUCUUUUGAGCUAACUAUGGCAGAGAGGUGCAGGAAAUUAUCAUUAACCAUGGUAUUAAAAUUUCUGGCCUCAAUUACAGUCUUUCAGAAUUAAACAACAGCGCUUUAACUAGAGAACUAUCUACAGAACCAGCCCCAAGAACAUCAAGCACUGACACUGUUCCUGUUUUGAAGAUGCUUUUAACACAGGGAAGGAAGUUGAAAUCUUAAAGAUUAAGCCAAUUCAUGGUGAUGUAGACUGAAGCGGGCAUAAUGAAACACACCGGGAUCAUUCAACUGCUAUUGGAUGGGGUGCAUAGCAAUGCCUCUCUUUAGCAUUGAAGCAGCAGAUUACAGGUUGACAUUGCACUUCUACCCCUGAUACUUCUCGGCCUUCAUCUCUCUUCUAGUCAACAACAUACCAUUACAGAUGAGGUCAUCUGGGGGAACUGUUUACAGUUUCAGAUAUCACCAGGCACUACUGAAAAGGAAGAAAACUAAAACUCUCUUUC